Molecule: RNA transcript, 988 nt
Organism: Corylus avellana
Lineage: Eukaryota; Viridiplantae; Streptophyta; Magnoliopsida; Fagales; Betulaceae
Gene name: protein NONRESPONDING TO OXYLIPINS 2, mitochondrial
Source: RefSeq, a predicted model, not a curated record
GAAGGAAGAAAAUGAGGAGCCCAACCCAACGAAGCCCAGCUUCAGGAGGCCGUGUACUUGGACUCUUGGUUCUGCUAGAACCCUAAACCCUCGCGCCGUGAGCUUCCGAGUCCUUAACCUCCUCCGGAUCCACUUCACAUCUUCUUCUUCUUCUUCAAUGGCUUCAACCUGCAACAGAAUCUUCAGCAGAGCAUCCGUAUCGUCCAUCAAAUCCGCCAUCAAAUCCAACAUCCGUACAUCUCCCCUCGCCAAAUCCGCCACUCCCACCUCUCCGCGCUUCCCUCUCCCCUCCACGUCUACUUCCCCUCCUCGUCGCCGAUUCUCACUCUCCAGGUCUCCAGCGGAACUGGGAAGCGUUCAGUCGAUCUUGCCGCUGCACAGCGCGGUGGCGGCGGCUCGAAUGACGUCGUGCCUAAGCACAUCAUCGAGGAAUUGUCGAGCGCUCUCGCAGGGUACACUCUGCUGCACCUCUCCAGACCUCUAAUAUCAUGCACAUAAUAUGAGUGUCGUUGAAAGAAAUAAAAUGGGAAUUUGCGGGACCUGCCAAUUAUCAAAUGGAAUUGAUGGUACGUGAGACAUAUGUGCUAUACUUGGAGAGCUUGGUCUGUCGGUUCCAAGGUGACAUUAUAGCAGUCCACCAUGGCGAGAGGUUAUCUAUCUUCACAAGAAUGGAAAAUCUUGCACCAAGAUCAUUGUGGCUUUUGUUUUUGAACUUCAGUCAUUUUAGAAGAGAUACUGCUUGAACCUUGAAAGCAAGGAAACUGAUUUUGGUAUUUCCCACCAUAGAGAUAUUUGUUCACUAACUAUUCAUGUAUGUUUAAUUGCCAAAGGCAGAUACCAAUAAGUCAGUAGACAAGAUGAUUAAGAAAAAAACAGAUGCAAUAUGUGGAUCAUGCACUUGUGAAAUUGUUUAUUGUACCCAGAUGGAAUUUGAUUUUGAUUCUUCCCAUCAGAGAUAUUUACAAGUAUUAUUCAUAUAUCUUCAAUU